This 253-nucleotide ribosomal RNA is filed under the name uncultured bacterium. RNAcentral's name for it is "partial 16S ribosomal RNA". It matches the Rfam family "Bacterial small subunit ribosomal RNA", at positions 524 to 776 of the family's 1533-position model. The record is from RNAcentral.
GACAGAGGGUGCAACCGUUGUUCGGAAUUACUGGGCGUAAAGCGCGUGUAGGUGGCAAGGCAAGUCGGGUGUGAAAGCCCCGGGCUCAACCCGGGAAGUGCAUUCGAUACUGCCAAGCUAGAGUCCCGGAGAGGAUGGUGGAACUCUCGGUGUAGAGGUGAAAUUCGUAGAUAUCGAGAAGAACACCGGUGGCGAAGGCGGCCAUCUGGACGGUGACUGACACUGAGACGCGAAAGCGUGGGGAGCAAACAGG